AGAACGAACGCUGGCGGCAGGCUUAACACAUGCAAGUCGAACGCGUGUAGCAAUACACGAGUGGCGCACGGGUGAGUAACGCGUGGAUAUCUGCCUUUUGGUUCGGAAUAACCCCGGGAAACUGGGGCUAAUACCGGAUGGUUCCUACGGGAUAAAGAUUUAUCGCCAAAAGAUGAGUCCGCGUCCGAUUAGCUAGUUGGUGGGGUAAUGGCCUACCAAGGCGACGAUCGGUAGCUGGUCUGAGAGGACGAUCAGCCACACUGGGACUGAGACACGGCCCAGACUCCUACGGGAGGCAGCAGUGGGGAAUAUUGGACAAUGGGGCAACCCUGAUCCAGCCAUGCCGCGUGAGUGAUGAAGGCCUUCGGGUUGUAAAGCUCUUUUGGCGGGGACGAUGAUGACGGUACCCGCAGAAUAGCCCCGGCUAACUUCGUGCCAGCAGCCGC
Molecule: ribosomal RNA, 446 nt
Filed under: uncultured bacterium
Lineage: Bacteria
Description: SSU rRNA
Rfam family: Bacterial small subunit ribosomal RNA
Source: RNAcentral